UACGGAGGGUGCGAGCGUUGUCCGGAAUCACUGGGCGUAAAGGGCGCGUAGGCGGCGCGGGGAGUCAACGGUGAAAGCUCGGCGCUCAACGCCGAGUCGGCCGUCGAUACUCCCGUGCUUGAGCACUGUAGAGGCAGGUGGAAUUCCGGGUGUAGCGGUGGAAUGCGUAGAGAUCCGGAAGAACACCGGUGGCGAAGGCGGCCUGCUGGGCAGUAGCUGACGCUGAGGCGCGACAGCGUGGGGGGGCAAACAGG
Molecule: ribosomal RNA, 254 nt
Filed under: uncultured bacterium
Lineage: Bacteria
Description: partial 16S ribosomal RNA
Rfam family: Bacterial small subunit ribosomal RNA
Source: RNAcentral